GCUUAGGCGGUGGAGGGGACGCGGAGCGCAGGUGAGCGCACGUUGGGGGGAGCUGUGCGCAUGCGCGGCGCCCGGCGGGGUUCAGUCAGCUGAGCUGGGCGAGUUGCGGCUUCGCUCCGGUCCACGCCUCCUUCCCUCGGGUACCUCCGUGGCUCUGCUGAAGACGGGAGGGAUGGAGGUAACGCUUCGCCGAGAGGCUGGAAGGGGCCGGGCGGGCCGCUGAGGGCCGCCCCUCAGGUAAAGCUUCAUGGAGAGAAAACCCACCGGACCGAGGAUCCUGUCAUUCUGUUAGACCAAAGCCCGGUUUCCUCUUGAUCCACACCUUCUCUUGCUUUAAAACGUUAAUAACCACUUAAUUCUGGCCUGUGGUUUCUUGAUUGCACCCACCUGCAGGGCCUGUGUGAUGUGUGAGGGAGAGAUGUGACGAGAAAUGGAUUUUGCUGGUGGAAUCGGCAGCUUGGGACAGGAAGAAGAAGGCUCUGAAGACUUUUUUCUUGUCAGAUGGAUGAACAAGAAAGCAGUGGGUUGUAGAGAUGCUAUUUCAAAUGUGAAAUUCUGUCAGAGGGAUACCUGUGUCCAAAGGAGUGCAGGUGAGGAGUGAAGCCACCAUUUCCAUUUCUGUAUAAAGGCACAGCCACUGCUAAUGUCUGAUUGUGGGACAAGAGCAGGCAAGUGCCUUGAUAAGUUUUUUCUCCAAUGUGUGGGGAGAACACCUAGUCUCUCAAUUUGUUUUGCUGUACCCACCUUCCUUGAUGCUGUGUCUGUGGUUUUCUAGCCUGGCUUCUUUACUCUGAACCUAUGGCAUGAAGUCCCCUUACCUUAAAAUAGGUACUGGAAGAUUGCAGAGGCUUUCCUGUAAAAGAUGCUUUUCUACUUCAGUUUCACACAGUGAUUUUGCUCUCCCCAAAAACAAGUUGUACAGAGGUUAAAAGGAAAUGUUAAGUCCCUCUUUCUCAGCAGACACCUAGGACUCUGCAGAGGAAGGACUUAAAAAGAUAAGGGACUGAGUGCAAGUAUUCUUGGACUGUCAGAUUUCCAGCAUGACAACAAAGCACUUGUCCUUAUCUCUCUGCUUUGUCACUUCUGCAUCUGUGUUGGGGAAGAGGCUGCUGCAGAGGAGACUGACUCUUCUAAGCCUUGCUGUGUGAUUUGGCUCCUGAAUGCCCAGGGCUCCCUGCAGUUGCACACUUUCUUCCCUGGCUGUUUUAUUAAUGGAAGUUGACAUCCUCAUGCUGGCUCCCAGGGAGGGAUCUGUCUGAGUCAUUGGCUGUAACACAGCCCUUUUCCCACAAAGGGCUCCCUUCAGCUAUUUACAUCCCUCUCUUUGAUCUAUCUUUUGACAUGAAAAGACAUGUCAGCCAGGUAAAGGGAAACAAACAAAAUGCAGGAACAGUCCCACAUCUCUGCUUGCACAUGAUCUGCUCCCUAGCACACGCCUGCCUUACAGCCACAGAUCCUUAUCAGCCCUCUGAUUUCCUUGCUAUCAUCUCUGUCUUCCCUUCAUGCUGUUGUUUAACUUCUAGAGGCAUAUAUGUGCAUCUUGUUCACUGCUCAGUAAGAUGCUGUGGCACGUUUGCCUACUUUCUCUGGUAUUUCCCUUCUAUCUAUAGUACAGCUAGUAUGGGAAAUGCCCUCACACAUCCUCCUCACUUCAUGCAGUGCCAGGAACAGGUGAUAGAGAUCUUCAUUUCCUGCCUUCAACUGCUGCAGUGUUUCAGCAAGCAGCUGUUUGCAGCUCGCUCCAGAAGUAGCAGCAGUGCAACUAUAGGUGAAUUCCUUUGUGGAAACCAGAUCCUUCAUUGCUAAGUAGCUUAGGAUCUUUCAGAGUUAAAAAGACUAAAUAUUAUGCAAAUUCAAAUUAGAUGCACCAGAACACAGUAUCACACACCUGUGUUUUUUUCCUAUAGGAAUGGGUGUUCUAGAAUUGCUGAGAAAGCAAAUCUAAUGGAUAAGAAUGUUGUUGAGAUGCAGCUCUUUGGAGAUGACUGCUGGUGCCAGGUGCAGAAUAGUGUGGGAAGGGGAAAAAUCAAACAGAGCUUAGUUCCUGCCUUUAUCAGCAAUUAAUUUUCUUGUGGCAUUGGCCGGCUUGUUGGGUUUGCACAGCUUGGUGCUCUUGGGCAAUCUCUGAGCUGAUUGGUCUGGUUAUUUUAUGUCUUCCAGGUAGUAAACCAGUGCUGGAGUGCUUUGGUAAAGGAGGUGUCUGUCCGGUCCAGGGCCUGCAGUCCCAUUUAAGCUGUGCUGCUAUGGGAUGUGGCUCCGUCGGUGAGGGUUCUCUAUUCUACCCAAGCAGCAAUAGCUCCCUGCAUCACCUGGACUUGUGCUAUGAUAAUUUCUUGGGAAACUCUCAGCAGCCAGUGAAACAGCCCUCCCAGUGUUCUUUCUUCCUACAGCCAGCAGGGAGGUGGGCUGCCUUCCUUUUGUCCUACUCACUGUUCCCACAGGUGAAUCUUCAUGGCUUGUGCUGUUUCUGGGCUGGCACCAAACAUAGCAAGGUGCUGUUUGACUGAAGCCUUCACGUCAUAACAGUUCUGCUUUGGGAAAAGCCUGAACUCAGCGUUGAGGG
Lagopus leucura (white-tailed ptarmigan) is the source of this 2563-nucleotide long non-coding RNA. RefSeq lists it as uncharacterized. The record is from RefSeq and is a predicted model, not a curated record. The transcript is spliced from 3 exons. NCBI's taxonomy places the organism in Eukaryota, Metazoa, Chordata, Aves, Galliformes, Phasianidae.